RNAcentral lists this ribosomal RNA (485 nucleotides) under uncultured bacterium. RNAcentral describes it as "partial 16S ribosomal RNA". It matches the Rfam family "Bacterial small subunit ribosomal RNA", at positions 30 to 507 of the family's 1533-position model. The record is from RNAcentral.
AUUGAACGCUGGCGGCAGGCUUAACACAUGCAAGUCGAGCGGGCGAGGUUGCUUCGGUCACUGAGCUAGCGGCGGACGGGUGAGUAAUGCUUAGGAAUCUGCCUAUUAGUGGGGGACAACAUUCCGAAAGGAAUGCUAAUACCGCAUACGCCCUACGGGGGAAAGCAGGGGAUCUUCGGACCUUGCGCUAAUAGAUGAGCCUAAGUCAGAUUAGCUAGUUGGUGGGGUAAAGGCCUACCAAGGCGACGAUCUGUAGCGGGUCUGAGAGGAUGAUCCGCCACACUGGGACUGAGACACGGCCCAGACUCCUACGGGAGGCAGCAGUGGGGAAUAUUGGACAAUGGGCGCAAGCCUGAUCCAGCCAUGCCGCGGGUGUGAAGAAGGCCUUUUGGUUGUAAAGCACUUUAAGCGAGGAGGAGGCUACCUGGAUUAAUACUCUGGGAUAGUGGACGUUACUCGCAGAAUAAGCACCGGCUAACUCUGUG